GUUACAGACGAACCUUUGUGGGGUUGAAGC
Molecule: non-coding RNA, 30 nt
Filed under: Halogranum amylolyticum
Lineage: Archaea; Methanobacteriati; Methanobacteriota; Halobacteria; Halobacteriales; Haloferacaceae
Source: RNAcentral